Non-coding RNA from Schizosaccharomyces pombe (fission yeast), 209 nucleotides. The record is from the annotation of a GenBank genome assembly. Lineage: Eukaryota; Fungi; Ascomycota; Schizosaccharomycetes; Schizosaccharomycetales; Schizosaccharomycetaceae.
AUUAAAAUACCUUUCAUUAUACUUUCAUAGACCGUAUCGGGAACUGUAAUCAUCUGGGUAUAUUGACUGGCAACCUUCUCUUGAAUCAUUUCCUUGGCUUUUUCACAAUUCUCCGGACUUCCGACGAUUGUAAUAGUGACAGUCUCUUCAGGGUCAAGAACAUUCGGGAUGUUGAGCAUGGUAGACGUUUUCCUUUCGAUGUCACGACG